Molecule: ribosomal RNA, 324 nt
Filed under: uncultured bacterium
Lineage: Bacteria
Description: bacterial SSU rRNA
Rfam family: Bacterial small subunit ribosomal RNA
Source: RNAcentral
GAUGUACGCUGGCGGCGUGCUUAACACAUGCAAGUCGAACGAAGCACCUUGAUUUGAUUCUUCGGAUGAAGAUCUUGGUGACUGAGUGGCGGACGGGUGAGUAACGCGUGGGUAACCUGCCUCAUACAGGGGGAUAACAGUUAGAAAUGACUGCUAAUACCGCAUAAGACCACAGCACCGCAUGGUGCAGGGGUAAAAACUCCGGUGGUAUGAGAUGGACUCGCGUCUGAUUAGGUAGUUGGAGGGGUAACGGCCCACCAAGGCGACGAUCAGUAGCCGGUCUGAGAGGAUGAACGGCCACAUUGGGACUGAGACACGGCCCAG